Molecule: long non-coding RNA, 989 nt
Organism: Sorghum bicolor (sorghum)
Lineage: Eukaryota; Viridiplantae; Streptophyta; Magnoliopsida; Poales; Poaceae
Exons: 3
Source: RefSeq, a predicted model, not a curated record
GUGCAUCCCCAUCGCUGGCUCGCCGCCGCUAGUGCAUAGGAGGAAGUGGGGAACAUCCAGCAAUCUGCAUCCGCUAGUAGAGCGCCGUCGUCCUCGUCCCCAUCCCUGGCGAAGGACUGAAUCCAGGCGCUGGCAGCCUCGAUCUGGCCCGGCUGCAAUGAUGUACGUGCAGGCUGCAUCGAUCUGGGACAGCUUUGAUCUGUGACCGAGCAUCCUCAACUUGGUCGACUCCUAAUCUCCGCCGCCACCGACGCUUCUUGUCUUCUCUACCAGUCUAUAGGAUCAUCUGAUUCUAUUGUAUGAACAAUAAGUCAGAUGAAGCGACUAGCCGACUACUGUGCGAUCUGAACAUAUGAAGCGACCUACUCUCCUGGCUGUUGCAGUGCUUCUGGUCGGUCGGCAGCGGUUGUUCAUGAUAUAGCUGAGAAGUUAUGCUGGUAUCACUACAAAGGAAUAAUUCAGGAAGCAGAUCACUGAACUUUCAAUGAAGCUUUAGCUGGAUGGAGUUAUGCUUGGCAUGUUGAGUCCUUUUUUCACUAGUAUAAUGCCCGUGCUAACGCCACGGUUUUUUCUAGGGAAUGCUAUAGUAAUUUUUUUAGAGUUCUAAUUUUGGAUAAUUAUUUUUAAGUCUAUAUAUAUUUUAUGAAUCAUCAGUACAUAAAGACAUCUUUAUAUUUUUUCUAACUUUUUAAUCAAAUAUUGGAUAUCUUCAGGAAUGUUGUCGUUGCACUCGUUUGCAGGACUCACCAAAAUUUCAGCCAAGAACUCGGUCCUUAGUGAUCUUGAUAGCUGUGAAUGACAGAUAAUAUUUUGUCAAUAUUUAAUCGUUCAUUGACGCAAAUAUAGUUGGAGACUGCAUGUGCUUACAUUAUUUAUUGACAGCAAUCUCGCGUUGUUUCCUCUUGCUCUCUUCCCUUUCUUCUUCAGUCAUCCUACGAUGAUACUCACGUUGUCUCCUAUUUAUCUCCUCCCUUUGUUCAUUGAAAAUC